Molecule: transfer RNA, 91 nt
Filed under: Klebsiella phage DP
Lineage: Duplodnaviria; Heunggongvirae; Uroviricota; Caudoviricetes
Description: tRNA-Ser
Source: RNAcentral
GGAGGAACAAAUCGAAUGGCGACGAAAACUGUUUUGAAAACAGCCGAGCAUGAUGAGUGCCUUGGGAGUUCAACUCUCCCUUCCUCCGCCA